AUCUCCCCAUUACAAUCUUAACAUUUUAAAGGGAAAGGGUUGUAAAUUUGAAGAUCUUCCUGAGUGUAGUCCCUCAUGUCCCUGUACUGAGAACUAUUAAGACCUGAAAACUGCUUCUGCAGACUUGGAUGUUUAUUGCACUGGAAGGCUGCAAGGAUUUACAGUAAAAAAUGAUAUUGUGCUGAAAACAGAUUAUUCGAAUCCAGACGUCUCUGAAUCUUAGGGAUGUUGGAACAAGGUUCAGCCCAUUAGCAAGCUAAACUUUGUAAUGGUGUUUCACUGCAGGUUGGGGAUUUGGGGAUGUAGACCUGACACAUGUGUAACUGCCCUCCGGGAACCGCAGCCCAGUUUGUCAGAGCAGCCAGGCCUUAACUUCUGACAGUGGCCCACAUCCUGUUGCUUGGAGUUAGGUAUUGAAAUGCCUUUGAAAAACUUCUCCUAACACCCAUCGAUCACUUUCACAUCUCAUUCUUCAGGUGUGACUUUACUUACACCAAGUUCUGCCCAUCAUGUCAAACAAGGUAGAACUAUUCAUUUUGAUGGACCACUUGAGCUGAUUUACUGGGACCCAAACUGCAGUUCAGCUUCUGGCAUUCUGUCCAAGUAUCCAAAGUCCGACCAGAACUCAGGAGCUGGCUGCUGACUGUGAGUGUGAGAUGGGAGUAGCUUGUAGGUGCCAUUUGAAGAGGACCCUGCCCAGGUGUUUGAGAGUUGGAAGGUGUGACCCAAACCUUCACAGCAUGGCCUGUUAUGUGCUGCCUGGCUGACGGUCAUGGGCAGACUCUGACCAAAUUACGUGUAUUUGUUUUCCAGAAUUCCCCUGCUCACACCUCCAUCAAAAAGAGGAUCUAACCAUUUCCCCUCAGGUUCCUACAACCCCAUUGCUGCAGCCUUGGUAUGUGCCUGACAUCCAGAAAAAUGAUACUGCCAAGGGAAAAAAGAGGCAAGAGCCGUGGCCUUUUGACAGAUGCUCCACAGUGCUGCAUCUAUCCUGUUCUAUGUUAGAAACUGCAUGAACUACUGAGAAUGGUUUAAUGAGAAUACAUUAAAAAAAGUACUUUAACAAGGAAAUUAUAGUAGGAUGUACGAGUGCCAACUUUAAAGUAAAUUUGAAAAACUUAAUCUAUCUGCUUUAGAAACUGGACUAAUUAUUUGCAAGUUCAUUUUUUAAUUAAAAAGCCAGAUCUUUCCAUACCAAUUAAUUUCUGGUUUAGAACUUCUUUUUUUUUUCCACUUUCAUAAGUAGACACCCAGGACUGUGAUUUUUGUUAGACAAAACUCCAGCUGGAAAACUGCUGAAGUUCAUAAACUCCUCAUUGUUACUAGGAAAGUGCUACAGCCCUGUUUCUCAUUUCCACGAACAAUCAGGAGAACUCUACCUACUGCCUGCUACAGUUUUCCCAGAAGUACUAGCACCAGCAAGGAGAGGCUGGGGGGUGACUGCGCCUAGCCUAGCCCUGUCCUCUCAGUCUCUCUGUGGCUCAUGAGUCUGGGGGUGUUUCCUGGUCACAGGGUGCAGAAAUAUCGACUGUUGGGUUGAGGUUCAGGUGCGUCUCAGUUUGGUGCUGAUGAAGCACUCUCUCAGACUGUUUGACAUGAAUUGGUGGAGCUUUGAUUUACAGUAGAUGUUGCUGCUGGCAGUAAGCGAGCAAGAGACUGCUUGCAGUGGUAACAAAUGGCCAAACUGAACACUUGAGUUCUUUUGACCAAAAACUUGAGAUGUUUUAUCAGGAGAAGAUGGUGUUAUUGGUAUACACCUGUUAGUGGGACACAGACCUUUAGGUUCCACUGCUCUUAAAUCAGAAUAGAAUAGCCCCAGAGCUCUACACUAGCCACUGAAGAGCAGCAUGGAUAGCCAAUGAGGAUUUUUUAACACACUAUUAAAAGAAGUCUUGCAUAAGUAAAAAAAAAUUGCCCUGCACACAUGCCAUUUUUCACAGGAAUAUGUCAACAUGAAUUGUAGGUAAAGAAGGAUAGUGUACUUCUUUCCAGGGAGUUCACCUGAAUAAUAUGUAG
Numida meleagris (helmeted guineafowl) is the source of this 2016-nucleotide long non-coding RNA. Lineage: Eukaryota; Metazoa; Chordata; Aves; Galliformes; Numididae. The record is from Ensembl.